CAGUAGCCGCGGUAAUACGUAGGGUGCGAGCGUUAAUCGGAAUUACUGGGCGUAAAGCGUGCGCAGGCGGCUUUGCAAGACAGAUGUGAAAUCCCCGGGCUCAACCUGGGAACUGCAUUUGUGACUGCAAGGCUAGAGUACGGUAGAGGGGGAUGGAAUUCCGCGUGUAGCAGUGAAAUGCGUAGAUAUGCGGAGGAACACCAAUGGCGAAGGCAAUCCCCUGGACCUGUACUGACGCUCAUGCACGAAAGCGUGGGGAGCAAACAGGAUUAGAUACCCGAGUAGUCCCUGUCUCUUAUAC
This 301-nucleotide ribosomal RNA is filed under the name uncultured bacterium. RNAcentral describes it as "partial 16S ribosomal RNA". It matches the Rfam family "Bacterial small subunit ribosomal RNA", at positions 509 to 807 of the family's 1533-position model. The record is from RNAcentral.